This 194-nucleotide ribosomal RNA is filed under the name uncultured bacterium. RNAcentral describes it as "partial 16S rRNA". It matches the Rfam family "Bacterial small subunit ribosomal RNA", at positions 338 to 524 of the family's 1533-position model. The record is from RNAcentral.
CCUACGGGAGGCAGCAGUGGGGAAUNUUGGNCAAUGGGCGCAAGCCUGAUCCAGCCAUGCCGCGUGGGUGAAGAAGGCCUUCGGGUUGUAAAGCCCUUUUGUUGGGAAAGAAAAGCAGUCGGUUAAUACCCGAUUGUUCUGACGGUNCCCANAGAAUAAGCACCGGCUNACUUCAUGCCAGCAGCCGCGGUAAU